UACGGGGGGGGCAAGCGUUGUUCGGAAUUACUGGGCGUAAAGGGCUCGUAGGCGGCCAACUAAGUCAGACGUGAAAUCCCUCGGCUUAACCGGGGAACUGCGUCUGAUACUGGAUGGCUGGAGUUUGGGAGAGGGAUGCGGAAUUCCAGGUGUAGCGGUGAAAUGCGUAGAUAUCGGGAGGAACACCAGUGGCGAAGGCGACUACCUGGCCUGUUCUUGACGCUGAGGCGCGAAAGCUAGGGGAGCAAACGGG
Molecule: ribosomal RNA, 253 nt
Filed under: uncultured bacterium
Lineage: Bacteria
Description: partial 16S ribosomal RNA
Rfam family: Bacterial small subunit ribosomal RNA
Source: RNAcentral